RNAcentral lists this non-coding RNA (29 nucleotides) under Homo sapiens (human). The record is from RNAcentral. Lineage: Eukaryota; Metazoa; Chordata; Mammalia; Primates; Hominidae.
UCAUCUGCUUUGGUUGAGGAGAAACUUCU